This 254-nucleotide ribosomal RNA is filed under the name uncultured bacterium. RNAcentral's name for it is "partial 16S ribosomal RNA". It matches the Rfam family "Bacterial small subunit ribosomal RNA", at positions 524 to 776 of the family's 1533-position model. The record is from RNAcentral.
UACGGGGGGAGCAAGCGUUGUUCGGAUUUACUGGGCGUAAAGGGCGCGUAGGCGGCACCGCAAGUCGACUGUGAAAUCUCCGGGCUUAACCCGGAAAGGUCAGCCGAUACUGCAGGGCUAGAGUGCAGAAGGGGCAACUGGAAUUCUCGGUGUAGCGGUGAAAUGCGUAGAUAUCGAGAGGAACACCUGCGGCGAAGGCGGGUUGCUGGGCUGACACUGACGCUGACAGCGCGAAAGCUAGGGGAGCGAACGGG